GCUUGGGAACAUGCCUUGAGGUGGGGGACAACAGUUGGAAACGACUGCUAAUACCGCAUAAUGUCUACGGACCAAAGGGGGCUUCGGCUCUCGCCUUUAGAUUGGCCCAAGUGGGAUUAGCUAGUUGGUGAGGUAAUGGCUCACCAAGGCGACGAUCCCUAGCUGGUUUGAGAGGAUGAUCAGCCACACUGGGACUGAGACACGGCCCAGACUCCUACGGGAGGCAGCAGUGGGGAAUAUUGCACAAUGGGCGCAAGCCUGAUGCAGCCAUGCCGCGUGUGUGAAGAAGGCCUUCGGGUUGUAAAGCACUUUCAGUCAGGAGGAAAGGUUAGUAGUUAAUACCUGCUAGCUGUGACGUUACUGACAGAAGAAGCACCGGCUAACUCCGUGCCAGCAGCCGCGGUAAUACGGAGGGUGCGAGCGUUAAUCGGAAUUACUGGGCGUAAAGCGUACGCAGGCGGUUUGUUAAGCGAGAUGUGAAAGCCCCGGGCUCAACCUGGGAACUGCAUUUCGAACUGGCAAACUAGAGUGUGAUAGAGGGUGGUAGAAUUUCAGGUGUAGCGGUGAAAUGCGUAGAGAUCUGAAGGAAUACCGAUGGCGAAGGCAGCCACCUGGGUCAACACUGACGCUCAUGUACGAAAGCGUGGGGAGCAAACGGGAUUAGAUACCCCGGUAGUCCACGCCGUAAACGAUGUCUACUAGAAGCUCGGAGCCUCGGUUCUGUUUUUCAAAGCUAACGCAUUAAGUAGACCGCCU
Molecule: ribosomal RNA, 756 nt
Filed under: Pseudoalteromonas sp.
Lineage: Bacteria; Pseudomonadati; Pseudomonadota; Gammaproteobacteria; Alteromonadales; Pseudoalteromonadaceae
Description: bacterial SSU rRNA
Rfam family: Bacterial small subunit ribosomal RNA
Source: RNAcentral